CAGUCGCCGCGGGAACACGGAGGGAGCUAGCGUUGUUCGGAAUUACUGGGCGUAAAGCGCACGUAGGCGGUUAUUCAGGUCAGAGGUGAAAGCCCGGGGCUCAACCCCGGAACUGCCUUUGAAACUAGAUGACUGGAAUCUUGGAGAGGUCAGUGGAAUUCCGAGUGUAGAGGUGAAAUUCGUAGAUAUUCGGAAGAACACCAGUGGCGAAGGCGACUGACUGGACAAGUAUUGACGCUGAGGUGCGAAAGCGUGGGGAGCAAACAGGAUUAGAUACCCGUGUAGUCCCUGUCUCUUAUAC
This 301-nucleotide ribosomal RNA is filed under the name uncultured bacterium. Its description in RNAcentral is "partial 16S ribosomal RNA". It matches the Rfam family "Bacterial small subunit ribosomal RNA", at positions 509 to 807 of the family's 1533-position model. The record is from RNAcentral.